UUAAAAGCGAUGAUUGGGAGCAAGGCUUAACAUCCUGCUUAAGAGAGCCGGUGGUUGGUGCGAACCGGUGCGGAAGUAGGCUAUACUCGCCCAGGAGCUCUUUGUUGAACUGUAUAGUGUGGUUUUGAUACACAUAUACACUAGGCAAUAGCGGAUGCCGUCCGUUAGCAGCAAGUUGUGAGACAUUCAUGACUAAAUGAGUCCAAAGUAGGGUGGUACCGCGCAUUUAGAGCGCCCCUAUG
Molecule: non-coding RNA, 242 nt
Filed under: Sporomusa sphaeroides
Lineage: Bacteria; Bacillati; Bacillota; Negativicutes; Selenomonadales; Sporomusaceae
Description: Sporomusa sp. T-box sequence
Rfam family: T-box leader
About the family: Uncharged tRNA acts as the effector for transcription antitermination of genes in the T-box leader family. T-boxes are found upstream of many aminoacyl-tRNA synthetase genes and some amino acid biosynthetic genes usually in Gram-positive bacteria. The anticodon of a specific tRNA base pairs to a specifier sequence within the T-box motif, and the NCCA acceptor tail of the tRNA base pairs to a conserved bulge in the T-box antiterminator hairpin.
Source: RNAcentral